GAAUUUCUCCGCAUGGCUUCGAAAGGAGUGACCAUUACAGUUCGCCUCAUUCGUUCAUUCGAGCAUCGCAAUUUCAGGCCUGUAGUAUAUCAUGGAGUUAAUUUGGACCAAACUACAAAGGAAUUUAUAUUAUUUCUAAAGCAAGAUAUUCCUUUAAGGACCAGCCUGCCACCACCAUUCAGAAAUUAUAAAUAUGAUAAACUAAAGAUUGUUCAUCAAGCACAUAGAGCAAAGUCGAACGAGCUUGUGUUGAGUCUGGAAGACGAUGAUACGCUCAUGCUGGAAGAAGACAGCACACUGCGCACCGCUGGAAUCGGAGCGCUUUAAAAAUUAAUGUAGCCAAGGAGAAAAAGUAACUCGAUUUGAAGGAAACGUUGAUAAAAAGACAAUAAGGCUCCUGCGCUCUCUGGAAUGGCAGAAAUGGAGAAGGGGAGCUAAGAUCUGAUAAGCUCUUCAUGAAGAACGUGUUUGUAAAUUAUGAGACAGUAAUGGGAAGUACAGUGCCAACCCAGCACACCACCUAAGAAGAAAGUUCAUGAGCACCUUCCUUAUCUCAUUCUCGAUGCUUCCCUGGAAAGGAAAACCAUCCUGAAUUUUGGGGUUCUCAUUCCCUUCCCUUUAGCAUGUAGUUUUAAAAAAUCCCAUAGGUAUGUAUUCCAUCCUAAAUUUUGUAUUUACCACCCUUGCUUCCCUAAAAUAGUUUUAAAAAUCACAUAUCUGUGUAGACUUCUACCAACAAUGUAUUAUAUAGCCUAUGCUUGGUUUCUGAGGUUUAUAAAAAUGGUUUCCUACAGCUUUUUCUUGAUUUCUUUCUUCUUCUUCUUCUUUUUUUCUAUUGGCAUUUUUAAGUCUCUAUUUUGUUUCUAAGAUUCACUGGAGCAAUGAGCAAUGGGUGGUUUGUUUUCAUUACUGGAUAAUUGGCCAUCAUCUGAAUAGUUCAGUUUAUUCAUGUGUUUCCCUGUCAGUGGGAUUGGGGCUGUUUCCAUUUUGGAGCAAUUAUGAAUAAUACUUCUGUGAACAUUCUUGUUUAAAACUUUAGUUGUUGACAUAGCAUUAUAUGCUCACACAUGUACAUGUAUAUAGAGCAUAAAACUAAAUCAAAGUUAAUGAAUUAACAAGGGAAUGCAUUUAAACACCCCCGUGGCAAGGAGACUGAUUCUGACCCCAUCAGCCCAAAAUGCUCCCUUUUCCGAACACAGUGCUCUCCCUCCUGCAGCCUGAUUUUUGUGCUGACACCUGUUUUUGCUAAUUUGUCACCAGUCCAAAACGCUACAUUUCAGCUUUGCCUGUGUUUUCUUUUUUUAAAUGUCUUUUAAACUCCUGUAACCUGUAGGUUCCCCUUCCAUCUCCUCUCUUUCUUCUUAACAUUUUGAAGUAUUAGGCUACAGGGGCUCCUGGGUUGCUCAGUUGGUGAGGCGUCUGCCUUCGGCUCA
Molecule: RNA transcript, 1433 nt
Organism: Ailuropoda melanoleuca (giant panda)
Lineage: Eukaryota; Metazoa; Chordata; Mammalia; Carnivora; Ursidae
Gene: C2H2orf76
Gene name: chromosome 2 C2orf76 homolog
Exons: 6
Source: RefSeq, a predicted model, not a curated record